UAUUAACGCUGGCGGCGUGCAUAACACAUGCAAGUCGAACGAUGAAACUUAGUAGACUUCUUCGGAAAGACACUAAGCGGCUUAGUGGCGAACGGGUGAGUAACGCGUGAGUAACCUGCCUUACACAAGGGGAUAGCCUUUGGAAACGAAGAAUAAUACCCUAUAAAACCAUAAAAGCACAUGCUAGAAUGGUCAAAGUGAUAGCGGUGUAAGAUGGACUUGCGUCUGAUUAGCUAGUUGGUGAGAUAAAAGCUCACCAAGGCAACGAUCAGUAGCCGGCUUGAGAGAGUGUACGGCCACAUUGGGACUGAGACACGGCCCAGACUCCUACGGGAGGCAGCAGUGGGGAAUUUUGCACAAUGGGGGAAACCCUGAUGCAGCGACGCCGCGUGAUUUAGAAGGCCUUCGGGUUGUAAAAAUCUUUUGUAUAGGAAGAAAAUGACAGUACUAUACGAAUAAGGUCCGGCUAAUUACGUG
Molecule: ribosomal RNA, 477 nt
Filed under: uncultured bacterium
Lineage: Bacteria
Description: partial 16S ribosomal RNA
Rfam family: Bacterial small subunit ribosomal RNA
Source: RNAcentral